CUCCAUAUCGACCGUUACCCCAUCCCAGCCCCAGCAGGCCCCCAACACCAGCAACAGCCGCCAUCUUCUCCAUAGGAGCAGCAACGACACCACCACCAUCCCUCCCUCCCUCCUAGCCCAGCUCGCUACUCCUCUCUCAUUUCCCUAUCCCUUAAUUGUAACCACCCAUCCACCCCACUACCAUCGCCAAUAACAGAUCUCUACCAUCUAUUGUAAUGGCACUGAAGAAAAAUAUCAUCAAUCAAACAAAUGGCAACAGUCUCAAUCAACGUGGGAAUUAAAUGGAACUCAAUCCCUUCCACAUCCAUCUUCACCACCACGAAAUCUCUCUCUGAAACCGUGUUCUUCAACCAAUCCGUGAAAUCAAACCCCUCAAUCUUAUCCACAUUAUCCCCAUAAUUCAACAAAGGCCUCACCGGUUGAACCCUCCCCAUUCCCUUACCUUUUCCCACGGUUUUCUUACUUGGGUCUCUUGUGUUCUCAAAGAACUAGAACAAGGUCUCAUUCCUCACCCUAGCCGAAUAUGUCAAAAGAGAAACUCAUUUCUUCAUGAAAAGCCUCAUCAGCCUGAAUUGCAUAGACCUCAAAGCUCUUGUUCUGUUUUGGGUACUGUGUUUGGGUAUGAGGUGACUGUGGGUAUAAAGGUGGGUAGGGUACGGG
RNAcentral lists this long non-coding RNA (660 nucleotides) under Prunus dulcis (almond). RNAcentral describes it as "sRNA ncRNA". The record is from RNAcentral. Lineage: Eukaryota; Viridiplantae; Streptophyta; Magnoliopsida; Rosales; Rosaceae.